Molecule: ribosomal RNA, 785 nt
Filed under: uncultured Glomus
Lineage: Eukaryota; Fungi; Glomeromycota; Glomeromycetes; Glomerales; Glomeraceae
Description: SSU rRNA
Rfam family: Eukaryotic small subunit ribosomal RNA
Source: RNAcentral
AUGGUAGGAUAGAGGCCUACCAUGGUUUUAACGGGUAACGGGGAAUUAGGGUUCGAUUCCGGAGAGGGAGCCUGAGAAACGGCUACCACAUCCAAGGAUGGCAGCAGGCGCGCAAAUUACCCAAUCCCGACACGGGGAGGUAGUGACAAUAAAUAACAAUACGGGGUUCUUUAGGAUCUCGUAAUUGGAAUGAGUACAAUUUAAAUCUCUUAACGAGGAACAAUUGGAGGGCAAGUCUGGUGCCAGCAGCCGCGGUAAUUCCAGCUCCAAUAGCGUAUAUUAAAGUUGUUGCAGUUAAAAAGCUCGUAGUUGAAUUUCGGGGUCAGUAGGUCGGUCGUGCCACUGGUAUGAACUGGUUUUACUGAUUCCUCCCUCUUGAAGAACUGUAAUGCCAUUAAUUUGGUGUUGCAGGGAAUCAGGACUGUUACUUUGAAAAAAUUAGAGUGUUUAAAGCAGGCUUUAGCUUGAAUACAUUAGCAUGGAAUAAUGAAAUAGGACGUUUGAUCCUAUUUUGUUGGUUUCUAGGAUUGACGUAAUGAUUAAUAGGGAUAGUUGGGGGCAUUAGUAUUCAAUUGUCAGAGGUGAAAUUCUUGGAUUUAUUGAAGACUAACUACUGCGAAAGCAUUUGCCAAGGAUGUUUUCAUUAAUCAAGAACGAAAGUUAGGGGAUCGGAGACGAUCAGAUACCGUCGUAGUCUUAACCAUAAACUAUGCCGACUAGGGAUCGGAUGAUGUUAAUUUUUUAAUGACUCAUUCGGCGCCUUACGGGAAACCAAAGUGUUUGGG